GCCCCCUUGGCUCAGUGGUAGAGCGUGUCCUUGGUAAGGACAAGGUCCGGGGUUCAAUUCCCCGAGGGGGCU
Molecule: transfer RNA, 72 nt
Filed under: Candidatus Woesearchaeota archaeon
Lineage: Archaea; Nanobdellati; Candidatus Woesearchaeota
Description: tRNA-Thr
Rfam family: tRNA
About the family: Transfer RNA (tRNA) molecules are approximately 80 nucleotides in length. Their secondary structure includes four short double-helical elements and three loops (D, anti-codon, and T loops).
Source: RNAcentral